Molecule: RNase P RNA, 387 nt
Filed under: Palleronia sediminis
Lineage: Bacteria; Pseudomonadati; Pseudomonadota; Alphaproteobacteria; Rhodobacterales; Roseobacteraceae
Description: Bacterial RNase P class A
Rfam family: Bacterial RNase P class A
About the family: Ribonuclease P (RNase P) is a ubiquitous endoribonuclease, found in archaea, bacteria and eukarya as well as chloroplasts and mitochondria. Its best characterised activity is the generation of mature 5'-ends of tRNAs by cleaving the 5'-leader elements of precursor-tRNAs. Cellular RNase Ps are ribonucleoproteins.
Source: Rfam by way of RNAcentral
GCGGAUGGCCGGGCGGCCGCGUGUCCCGCAAGGGGCGCGAGGAAAGUCCGGACUCCAGGAAGCGACGGUGCCGGGUAACGCCCGGGCGGGGCAACCCGACGGAAAGCGCCACAGAAAACAGACCGCCCCGGUCUUCGGGCCGGGGUCAGGGUGAAACGGUGGGGUAAGAGCCCACCGGGGGGCCGGCAACGGCCGCCGCAUGGCAAGCCCCACCGGGAGCAAUGCCAAAUAGGGAUCCCACGAGGGGCGCAAGCCUCUCACGGCGCGCUUCCGCCGCGGGAUCCGGGUCGGCAGCUCGAUCCCGUGGGCAACCGCGGGGCCAGAGGAAUGGUCGCCGCCCGCCCUUCGGGGCGGGAACAGAAUCCGGCUUACAGGCCAUCCGCGCAC